This 473-nucleotide ribosomal RNA is filed under the name uncultured soil bacterium. RNAcentral's name for it is "bacterial SSU rRNA". It matches the Rfam family "Bacterial small subunit ribosomal RNA", at positions 26 to 518 of the family's 1533-position model. The record is from RNAcentral.
AGGACGAACGCUGGCGGCGUGCUUAACACAUGCAAGUCGAGCGGUAAGGCCUUUCGGGGUACACGAGCGGCGAACGGGUGAGUAACACGUGGGUGAUCUGCCCUGCACUCUGGGAUAAGCCUGGGAAACUGGGUCUAAUACCGGAUAUGACCUGCUCUCGCAUGGGGGUGGGUGGAAAGAUUUAUCGGUGCAGGAUGGGCCCGCGGCCUAUCAGCUUGUUGGUGGGGUAAUGGCCUACCAAGGCGACGACGGGUAGCCGACCUGAGAGGGUGACCGGCCACACUGGGACUGAGACACGGCCCAGACUCCUACGGGAGGCAGCAGUGGGGAAUAUUGCACAAUGGGCGAAAGCCUGAUGCAGCGACGCCGCGUGAGGAUGAAGGCCUUCGGGUUGUAAACCUCUUUCAGCAGGACGAAGCGCAAGUGACGGUACCUGCAGAAGAAGCACCGGCUAACUACGUGCCAGCAGCCGC